CCUACGGGGGGCAGCAGUGGGGAAUAUGGGACAAUGGGGGGAACCCUGAUCCAGCCAUGCCGCGUGUGUGAAGAAGGCCCUCGGGUUGUAAAGCACUUUCAGUGAGGAAGAACGCCUGGUGGUUAAUACCCAUCAGGAAAGACAUCACUCACAGAAGAAGCACCGGCUAACUCCGUGCCAGCAGCCGCGGUAAUACGGAGGGUGCGAGCGUUAAUCGGAAUUACUGGGCGUAAAGCGCGCGUAGGUGGCUUGAUAAGCCGGUUGUGAAAGCCCCGGGCUCAACCUGGGAACGGCAUCCGGAACUGUCAAGCUAGAGUGCAGGAGAGGAAGGUAGAAUUCCCGGUGUAGCGGUUAAAUGCGUAGAGAUCGGGAGGAAUACCAGUGGCGAAGGCGGCCUUCUGGACUGACACUGACACUGAGGUGCGAAAGCGUGGGUAGCAAACAGGAUUAGAUACCCCAGUAGUC
Molecule: ribosomal RNA, 465 nt
Filed under: Vreelandella stevensii
Lineage: Bacteria; Pseudomonadati; Pseudomonadota; Gammaproteobacteria; Oceanospirillales; Halomonadaceae
Description: partial 16S ribosomal RNA
Rfam family: Bacterial small subunit ribosomal RNA
Source: RNAcentral